CCUGAAAGGGUGGGGUGCCCGCAAGGGAGCGUGGAGACAGGUGGUGCAUGGCUGUCGUCAGCUCGUGUCGUGAGAUGUUGGGUUAAGUCCCGCAACGAGCGCAACCCUCACCCCUAGUUGCGACCGGGUUAUGCCGAGCACUCGAGGGGAACUGCCGGCGUCAAGCUGGAGGAAGGCGGGGAUGACGUCAAGUCAUCAUGCCCCUUACGCCCUGGGCUACACACGUGCUACAAUGGCCAGUACAAAGGGAUGCGAGACUGCGAAGUGGAGCUAAUCCCAAAAAGCUGGUCUAAGUUCAGAUUGCAGUCUGCAACUCGACUGCAUGAAGGAGGAAUUGCUAGUAAUCGCGCAUCAGCACGGCGCGGUGAAUACGUUCCCGGGCCUUGUACACACCGCCCGUCACACCACGAAAGCUGU
This 417-nucleotide ribosomal RNA is filed under the name uncultured bacterium. RNAcentral's name for it is "bacterial SSU rRNA". It matches the Rfam family "Bacterial small subunit ribosomal RNA", at positions 1000 to 1414 of the family's 1533-position model. The record is from RNAcentral.